Molecule: transfer RNA, 72 nt
Filed under: Ixodes scapularis (black-legged tick)
Lineage: Eukaryota; Metazoa; Arthropoda; Arachnida; Ixodida; Ixodidae
Rfam family: tRNA
About the family: Transfer RNA (tRNA) molecules are approximately 80 nucleotides in length. Their secondary structure includes four short double-helical elements and three loops (D, anti-codon, and T loops). Further hydrogen bonds mediate the characteristic L-shaped molecular structure. tRNAs have two regions of fundamental functional importance: the anti-codon, which is responsible for specific mRNA codon recognition, and the 3' end, to which the tRNAs corresponding amino acid is attached (by aminoacyl-tRNA synthetases). tRNAs cope with the degeneracy of the genetic code in two manners: having more than one tRNA (with a specific anti-codon) for a particular amino acid; and 'wobble' base-pairing, i.e. permitting non-standard base-pairing at the 3rd anti-codon position.
Source: Rfam by way of RNAcentral
AUCCUGUUAGCUCAGUUGGUAGAGCGCUCCACUUGUAAAGAGAGAUCCCGGGUUCGAUACCCGGACCAGGCA